GACGAACGCUGGCGGCGUGCCUAAUACAUGCAAGUAGAACGCUGAAGGAGGAGCUUGCUUCUCUGGAUGAGUUGCGAACGGGUGAGUAACGCGUAGGUAACCUGCCUGGUAGCGGGGGAUAACUAUUGGAAACGAUAGCUAAUACCGCAUAAUAGCAGUUAUUGCAUGAUAACUGUUUGAAAGGUGCAAUUGCACCACUACCAGAUGGACCUGCGUUGUAUUAGCUAGUUGGUGGGGUAACGGCUCACCAAGGCGACGAUACAUAGCCGACCUGAGAGGGGGAUCGGCCACACUGGGACUGAGACACGGCCCAGACUCCUACGGGAGGCAGCAGUAGGGGAACUUCGGCAAUAGACGGAAGGCUGACCGAGCAACGCCGCGUGAGUGAAGAAGGGUUUCGGAUCGUAAAGCUCUGUUGUAAGAGAAGAACGAGUGUGAGAGUGGAAAGUUCACACUGUGACGGUAUCUUACCAGAAAGGGACGGCUAACUACGUG
RNAcentral lists this ribosomal RNA (495 nucleotides) under uncultured bacterium. RNAcentral describes it as "partial 16S ribosomal RNA". It matches the Rfam family "Bacterial small subunit ribosomal RNA", at positions 28 to 507 of the family's 1533-position model. The record is from RNAcentral.